GACGAACGCUGGCGGCGUGCUUAACACAUGCAAGUCGAACGGAAAGGCCCUGCUUUUGUGGGGUGCUCGAGUGGCGAACGGGUAAGUAACACGUGAGUAACCUGCCCUUGACUUUGGGAUAACUUCAGGAAACUGGGGCUAAUACCGGAUAGGAGCUCCUGCUGCAUGGUGGGGGUUGGAAAGUUUCGGCGGUUGGGGAUGGACUCGCGGCUUAUCAGCUUGUUGGUGGGGUAGUGGCUCACCAAGGCUUUGACGGGUAGCCGGCCUGAGAGGGUGACCGGCCACAUUGGGACUGAGAUACGGCCCAGACUCCUACGGGAGGCAGCAGUGGGGAAUAUUGCACAAUGGGCGGAAGCCUGAUGCAGCAACGCCGCGUGCGGGAUGACGGCCUUCGGGUUGUAAACCGCUUUCGCCUGUGACGAAGCGUGAGUGACGGUAAUGGGUAAAGAAGCACCGGCUAACUACGUG
This 468-nucleotide ribosomal RNA is filed under the name uncultured bacterium. RNAcentral's name for it is "partial 16S ribosomal RNA". It matches the Rfam family "Bacterial small subunit ribosomal RNA", at positions 28 to 507 of the family's 1533-position model. The record is from RNAcentral.